RNAcentral lists this ribosomal RNA (550 nucleotides) under Acinetobacter baumannii OIFC032. Its description in RNAcentral is "bacterial SSU rRNA". It matches the Rfam family "Bacterial small subunit ribosomal RNA", at positions 55 to 599 of the family's 1533-position model. The record is from RNAcentral. Lineage: Bacteria; Pseudomonadati; Pseudomonadota; Gammaproteobacteria; Moraxellales; Moraxellaceae.
AUGCAAGUCGAGCGGGGGAAGGUAGCUUGCUACUGGACCUAGCGGCGGACGGGUGAGUAAUGCUUAGGAAUCUGCCUAUUAGUGGGGGACAACAUCUCGAAAGGGAUGCUAAUACCGCAUACGUCCUACGGGAGAAAGCAGGGGAUCUUCGGACCUUGCGCUAAUAGAUGAGCCUAAGUCGGAUUAGCUAGUUGGUGGGGUAAAGGCCUACCAAGGCGACGAUCUGUAGCGGGUCUGAGAGGAUGAUCCGCCACACUGGGACUGAGACACGGCCCAGACUCCUACGGGAGGCAGCAGUGGGGAAUAUUGGACAAUGGGGGGAACCCUGAUCCAGCCAUGCCGCGUGUGUGAAGAAGGCCUUAUGGUUGUAAAGCACUUUAAGCGAGGAGGAGGCUACUUUAGUUAAUACCUAGAGAUAGUGGACGUUACUCGCAGAAUAAGCACCGGCUAACUCUGUGCCAGCAGCCGCGGUAAUACAGAGGGUGCGAGCGUUAAUCGGAUUUACUGGGCGUAAAGCGUGCGUAGGCGGCUUAUUAAGUCGGAUGUGAAA